AUUGAACGCUGGCGGCAGGCCUAACACAUGCAAGUCGAACGAGUGGCGGACGGGCGAGUAAUGGUUGGGAAUCUGGCUUAUGGACGGGGAUAACGACGGGAAACCGUAGCUAAUACCGCGUACCAUAGGAUGAGCCCAAGUGGGAUUAGGUAGUUGGUGUGGUAAAGGCUCACAAAGCCGACGCGGCCUAGCUGGUCUGAGAGGCUGAGCAGCCACACUGGGACUGAGACACGGCCCAGACGCCUACGGGAGGCAGCAGUGGGGAAUAUUGCACAAUGGGCGCAAGCCUGAUGCAGCCAUGCCGCGUGAAUGAAGAAGGCCUUAGGGUUGUAAAGUACUUUCGUCGGGGAGGCGUUACCCGCAGAAGAAGCACCGGCUAACUCCGUGCCAGCAGCCGCGGUAAUAC
Molecule: ribosomal RNA, 406 nt
Filed under: uncultured bacterium
Lineage: Bacteria
Description: partial 16S ribosomal RNA
Rfam family: Bacterial small subunit ribosomal RNA
Source: RNAcentral